CCAGAGAUGGAUUGGUGCCUUCGGGAACUCUGACACAGGUGCUGCAUGGCUGUCGUCAGCCCGUGUCGUGAGAUGUUGGGUUAAGUCCCGUAACGAGCGCAACCCUUGUCCUUAGUUACCAGCACGUUAUGGUGGGCACUCUAAGGAGACUGCCGGUGACAAACCGGAGGAAGGUGGGGAUGACGUCAAGUCAUCAUGGCCCUUACGGCCUGGGCUACACACGUGCUACAAUGGUCGGUACAAAGGGUUGCCAAGCCGCGAGGUGGAGCUAAUCCCAUAAAACCGAUCGUAGUCCGGAUCGCAGUCUGCAACUCGACUGCGUGAAGUCGGAAUCGCUAGUAAUCGUGAAUCAGAAUGUCACGGUGAAUACGUUCCCGGGCCUU
Molecule: ribosomal RNA, 383 nt
Filed under: uncultured Pseudomonas sp.
Lineage: Bacteria; Pseudomonadati; Pseudomonadota; Gammaproteobacteria; Pseudomonadales; Pseudomonadaceae
Description: bacterial SSU rRNA
Rfam family: Bacterial small subunit ribosomal RNA
Source: RNAcentral